GGGGGUGAACGGUUUCGACUUUGGUAGUUGAAACGGGAGAAGCGAGCCGAGAAUGUUGGUCAUCUCGUAAACGUUCCAGCAAAAACAAUAAGUGCCAAAUCUAACAGCACUGACUUCGCCCUCGCAGCCUAAGCGCUAGCGAGCCCGAGUCCGUCAGCCUAGGGGCGUUCUCCGCCCUAGUCACUGGCGUAAUUUAGGAGACUUACCAAGAGGUUGGGUUGCGCGACCUUGCGGGAAAUUCAACAGCAACUGUGCUUGUCGACAUCUUGUUUGCGUGAGUGUCGGAGCAGAGAAAAGCGACAGCAAACUGCGCUCGGAGAAGUACCAGAUCUUCACCUAAGGACCCGGGUUCGAUUCCCGGCACCUCCACGA
Molecule: transfer-messenger RNA, 372 nt
Filed under: Actinomycetales bacterium
Lineage: Bacteria; Bacillati; Actinomycetota; Actinomycetes; Actinomycetales
Rfam family: transfer-messenger RNA
About the family: Bacterial tmRNA, also known as 10Sa RNA or SsrA, is named for its dual tRNA and mRNA-like properties. Its role is to liberate the mRNA from a stalled ribosome.
Source: RNAcentral